This 3073-nucleotide ribosomal RNA is filed under the name Campylobacter jejuni. Its description in RNAcentral is "bacterial LSU rRNA". It matches the Rfam family "Bacterial large subunit ribosomal RNA". Lineage: Bacteria; Pseudomonadati; Campylobacterota; Epsilonproteobacteria; Campylobacterales; Campylobacteraceae. The record is from RNAcentral.
UAAAAAAAGGUAAGCUACUAAGAGCGAAUGGUGGAUGCCUUGACUGGUAAAGGCGAUGAAGGACGUACUAGACUGCGAUAAGCUACGGGGAGCUGUCAAGAAGCUUUGAUCCGUAGAUUUCCGAAUGGGGCAACCCAAUGUAUAGAGAUAUACAUUACCUAUAUAGGAGCGAACGAGGGGAAUUGAAACAUCUUAGUACCCUCAGGAAAAGAAAUCAAUAGAGAUUGCGUCAGUAGCGGCGAGCGAAAGCGCAAGAGGGCAAACCCAGUGCUUGCACUGGGGGUUGUAGGACUGCAAUGUGCAAGAGCUGAGUUUAGCAGAACAUUCUGGAAAGUAUAGCCAUAGAGGGUGAUAGUCCCGUAUGCGAAAAACAAAGCUUAGCUAGCAGUAUCCUGAGUAGGGCGGGACACGAGGAAUCCUGUCUGAAUCCGGGUCGACCACGAUCCAACCCUAAAUACUAAUACCAGAUCGAUAGUGCACAAGUACCGUGAGGGAAAGGUGAAAAGAACUGAGGUGAUCAGAGUGAAAUAGAACCUGAAACCAUUUGCUUACAAUCAUUCAGAGCACUAUGUAGCAAUACAGUGUGAUGGACUGCCUUUUGCAUAAUGAGCCUGCGAGUUGUGGUGUCUGGCAAGGUUAAGCAAACGCGAAGCCGUAGCGAAAGCGAGUCUGAAUAGGGCGCUUAGUCAGAUGCUGCAGACCCGAAACGAAGUGAUCUAUCCAUGAGCAAGUUGAAGCUAGUGUAAGAACUAGUGGAGGACUGAACCCAUAGGCGUUGAAAAGCCCCGGGAUGACUUGUGGAUAGGGGUGAAAGGCCAAUCAAACUUCGUGAUAGCUGGUUCUCUCCGAAAUAUAUUUAGGUAUAGCGUUGUGUCGUAAUAUAAGGGGGUAGAGCACUGAAUGGGCUAGGGCAUACACCAAUGUACCAAACCCUAUCAAACUCCGAAUACCUUAUAUGUAAUCACAGCAGUCAGGCGGCGAGUGAUAAAAUCCGUCGUCAAGAGGGAAACAACCCAGACUACCAGCUAAGGUCCCUAAAUCUUACUUAAGUGGAAAACGAUGUGAAGUUACUUAAACAACCAGGAGGUUGGCUUAGAAGCAGCCAUCCUUUAAAGAAAGCGUAAUAGCUCACUGGUCUAGUGAUUUUGCGCGGAAAAUAUAACGGGGCUAAAGUAAGUACCGAAGCUGUAGACUUGCACACAACUUAGAUUAUUUAAGUUUAGAAUAUGAGAAACUAAGUUAUAUGUUUAGUUAUAUUUUUACUGAUUUUUAUAGAGUAAAGAUAGAAAUAAAACUUAAUAAAAUCAGUAAAAAUAUUCUUAGGCUAAAGUUAAGUAGUUUAAGUUGUGUGCAAGUGGUAGGAGAGCGUUCUAUUUGCGUCGAAGGUAUACCGGUAAGGAGUGCUGGAGCGAAUAGAAGUGAGCAUGCAGGCAUGAGUAGCGAUAAUUAAUGUGAGAAUCAUUAACGCCGUAAACCCAAGGUUUCCUACGCGAUGCUCGUCAUCGUAGGGUUAGUCGGGUCCUAAGUCGAGUCCGAAAGGGGUAGACGAUGGCAAAUUGGUUAAUAUUCCAAUACCAACAUUAGUGUGCGAUGGAAGGACGCUUAGGGCUAAGGGGGCUAGCGGAUGGAAGUGCUAGUCUAAGGUUGUAGGAGGUUAUACAGGCAAAUCCGUAUAACAAUACUCCGAGAACUGAAAGGCUUUUUGAAGUCUUCGGAUGGAUAGAAGAACCCCUGAUGCCGUCGAGCCAAGAAAAGUUUCUAAGUUUAGCUAAUGUUGCCCGUACCGUAAACCGACACAGGUGGGUGGGAUGAGUAUUCUAAGGCGCGUGGAAGAACUCUCUUUAAGGAACUCUGCAAAAUAGCACCGUAUCUUCGGUAUAAGGUGUGGUUAGCUUCGUACUAGGAUUUACUCCGAAAGCGAAGAAACUUACAACAAAGAGUCCCUCCCGACUGUUUACCAAAAACACAGCACUCUGCUAACUCGUAAGAGGAUGUAUAGGGUGUGACGCCUGCCCGGUGCUCGAAGGUUAAUUGAUGGGGUUAGCAUUAGCGAAGCUCUUGAUCGAAGCCCGAGUAAACGGCGGCCGUAACUAUAACGGUCCUAAGGUAGCGAAAUUCCUUGUCGGUUAAAUACCGACCUGCAUGAAUGGCGUAACGAGAUGGGAGCUGUCUCAAAGAGGGAUCCAGUGAAAUUGUAGUGGAGGUGAAAAUUCCUCCUACCCGCGGCAAGACGGAAAGACCCCGUGGACCUUUACUACAGCUUGACACUGCUACUUGGAUAAGAAUGUGCAGGAUAGGUGGGAGGCUUUGAGUAUAUGACGCCAGUUGUAUAUGAGCCAUUGUUGAGAUACCACUCUUUCUUAUUUGGGUAGCUAACCAGCUUGAGUUAUCCUCAAGUGGGACAAUGUCUGGUGGGUAGUUUGACUGGGGCGGUCGCCUCCCAAAUAAUAACGGAGGCUUACAAAGGUUGGCUCAGAACGGUUGGAAAUCGUUCGUAGAGUAUAAAGGUAUAAGCCAGCUUAACUGCAAGACAUACAAGUCAAGCAGAGACGAAAGUCGGUCUUAGUGAUCCGGUGGUUCUGUGUGGAAGGGCCAUCGCUCAAAGGAUAAAAGGUACCCCGGGGAUAACAGGCUGAUCUCCCCCAAGAGCUCACAUCGACGGGGAGGUUUGGCACCUCGAUGUCGGCUCAUCGCAUCCUGGGGCUGGAGCAGGUCCCAAGGGUAUGGCUGUUCGCCAUUUAAAGCGGUACGCGAGCUGGGUUCAGAACGUCGUGAGACAGUUCGGUCCCUAUCUGCCGUGGGCGUAAGAAGAUUGAAGAGAUUUGACCCUAGUACGAGAGGACCGGGUUGAACAAACCACUGGUGUAGCUGUUGUUCUGCCAAGAGCAUCGCAGCGUAGCUAAGUUUGGAAAGGAUAAACGCUGAAAGCAUCUAAGCGUGAAGCCAACUCUAAGAUGAAUCUUCUCUAAGCUCUCUAGAAGACUACUAGUUUGAUAGGCUGGGUGUGUAAUGGAUGAAAGUCCUUUAGCUGACCAGUACUAAUAGAGCAUUUGGCUUAUCUUUAAUAAAGCAU